UAACCGCUUAUCUCGCUCGGUGGCGGACUCUUCCCGAAACGUCUUGAGAAAAAGCUUCUCGGCGCCCCCUCCUCUCCCUCCCUCAGAUCGAGCUGGUUCACUCCUCACUCCGCCCCGAUGCGCGCCUCCGCCUCCUGGCCGCCGCGCGCCUCCACCCCCAGACGCCACGGCGCCUCCAACUCCCAGCCGCCGCGCGCCUCCACGCCCUGUCGCCGACGCGCCGGCCGACGCCCCCACCGCGUGCUGCCCUGCAAAAAGGGAAGCGAUCGGCGGUGCGGCAGCUCCUGCUGCUGCUAGGCAGCGGCACAUCACACCAGGUGUGCCCAACAUGUGUUUGUGUUAAUGCCUGAAUAAGAAACUCUGUCCUACAUCUUAGUACAAGCACCGCUGACUCCAUAAGAAGUUGAAUCCCACAAAUUCGACUGGCCAAGCAAUCUAAAUUAAGCCAAUGAUUGGCAUCAUGUCUUUCAUGAGGCUGUAAUCUCAAAGGUUAUCUCAGUUUGUUAGGUGGAGCGAGAUGUAUGUGCUUUGCAUAGCUUUGUGGAUUAUAUGUUUGCUUACAAAGUGAGUUGCCUCAGGUAGAUGUAUUAUACUUUCCAGGUGCACUUGUGUUUUCAGUUUGUUUGUUGCAUUGCUGAACAUCUCGGGUACAGAGGCGUGGCGGGUUCAUAAUAUUGUUUCAAAGAACCUGUUACAUUCCCUUUGUUGAAAAUUUCAGCGUAUGCGCUUACAAGUGUAUGUACUUCACAAAGUGUGAUAGUUAAAGGUAAUGGUAAGCAGGACAAGGUACUUUCUUCUUAUCUCCUUUCAAUGGAGUAUCUAUUACUAUUAGCAGAUGGAAAUGAUCAAGUUGAUGUGUUCUUACGCAUGUAUGAGCCAUCUCAUUGGAGGUGUGUUUUAUUGUAUACUCGGAGAGCUCUUCUCUUGCAUACAACUUACUUUAUUCGAUGCUUUGUCAGUGUAAUCCAAAAAGAUACAUAAAUUUAAUAUACUAUGAAGUCAGUUUAAUCAUAAGAAAAUAUGUGCAAAUGCAAUGCCUUGAAUUUAAAAUGUGUGGAAACUAGCGCAUCAGCUUUGAAUUUAAAAUGAUGAAAUGAUACUUGAUUGAGAAUUCAGUGCGGUAUGAGUCAUAUAUUUAAGAAAUUUUAGAGAAAAAAUGCUAAGCGCUGUCGGUGGAUUGCAUACUUUGGGCAUGUUGAACUUUAUGGUUGCAAAAGGGAGUUAAUUAAUCAAUAAGGCCAAAAUUAUGUUUCUUUACCUGCAUUUUGCACAAAUGAGCAAUUAUUGGAUGUUUGCCUUUUUCAGGGAUUUGGUAAUGUUAGCUCCUGGGCUGCUCAACUGAUUGCCGAAGUUGGAGGGCAAGCUGAUCGCUAUUAACGAUGUCAUAAGUGCUGUCAAGAACAUUAGUGGCCUUGACAUCCCCAAGCUGGUGAAGCACCUGCCAGAGAACUGUGGGAUCAAGGGAUUUGACGAAGGCAACGCUGUUAACUCGGCCUUGCUGCUCAUCGAGGAAUGUGUCGUCCUUAUCCUGCCAGCACCGGGAGGAGUUGUAAACAAAAUGCUAAUGCCAUCAGAGAAAAAUACAUCAGCAAGCUGCCAACCACCCCACAAACCCUGAAGCUCACCAGGUGGCGUGGAUAUGGCUUACAAAUUUGUAGUGGUUGUCGAAUUGUACCAACCACAUCUUGUGUUGCCACCAGAUAUAAUAUUAAUGUGACUAUAUAGAAAUGGAGAAGGGUCAAAGGUGUUCGAUAUCAUACAUUCACGACUGCUACUCCUUCUGUACCAUGGAGACCAACCACAAGCAUUGAACAAAGAGCCUAAGAGUGGUGACCAACCAUCUGCGAAGGAGUAACAGAGCAAAGCAGAGAAGAGAAGGGGAGUACUAGCUAAGUAUUUUAAAAGGAAAGACAUCUUUCUAUUUUCUAGCAGCCAUGUUAGUUCAUUUAUGUGAUUUUAUUUUACCUUCUCUAAAGAGGCCUUUAGUCCUUGGGUACAACUUAUAUUUUUUACACAGAGAUGACCGUUGCAAUGGAUCAUGAAAUCUCUAUGUCUAACUUACUAAUUAAUUUGUUUUACUUCUAUUUAAUUAGGAAAGUGACAAGUUAAGUACAACAUUGUUUUUGCACAUCUUCAGGCAUUGGUUUCUGCUAUCUAAUUAGUGUUGUGUAUA
Triticum aestivum (bread wheat) is the source of this 2173-nucleotide long non-coding RNA. RefSeq lists it as uncharacterized. The record is from RefSeq and is a predicted model, not a curated record. The transcript is spliced from 8 exons. NCBI's taxonomy places the organism in Eukaryota, Viridiplantae, Streptophyta, Magnoliopsida, Poales, Poaceae.